AUUGAACGCUGGCGGAAUGCUUUACACAUGCAAGUCGAGCGGCAGCGCGGGGGCAACCCUGGCGGCGAGCGGCGAACGGGUGAGUAACAUAUCGGAACGUACCCAGUCGUGGGGGAUAACUAUCCGAAAGGAUAGCUAAUACCGCAUACGACCUGAGGGUGAAAGCGGGGGACCGUAAGGCCUCGCGCGAUUGGAGCGGCCGAUAUCGGAUUAGCUAGUUGGUGAGGUAAAGGCUCACCAAGGCGACGAUCCGUAGCUGGUCUGAGAGGACGACCAGCCACACUGGAACUGAGACACGGUCCAGACUCCUACGGGAGGCAGCAGUGGGGAAUAUUGGACAAUGGGGGGCAACCCUGAUCCAGCCGUGCCGCGUGUGUGAAGAAGGCCUCGGUUGUAAGCACCUAAGCAGGGAGGAAGGACUCGCAGAUUAAU
This 432-nucleotide ribosomal RNA is filed under the name uncultured bacterium. RNAcentral describes it as "bacterial SSU rRNA". It matches the Rfam family "Bacterial small subunit ribosomal RNA", at positions 29 to 464 of the family's 1533-position model. The record is from RNAcentral.